Molecule: ribosomal RNA, 253 nt
Filed under: uncultured bacterium
Lineage: Bacteria
Description: partial 16S ribosomal RNA
Rfam family: Bacterial small subunit ribosomal RNA
Source: RNAcentral
UACGUAGGGGGCAAGCGUUGCCCGGAUUUAUUGGGCGUAAAGAGCGUGUAGGCGGCCAGGUAGGUCGGUUGUGAAAACUAGAGGCUUAACCUCUAGACGUCGACCGAAACCAUCUGGCUAGAGUCCGGAAGAGGAGAGUGGAAUUCCUGGUGUAGCGGUGAAAUGCGCAGAUAUCAGGAAGAACACCCGUGGCGAAAGCGGCUCUCUGGGACGGUACUGACGCUGAGACGCGAAAGCGUGGGGAGCGAACAGG